CAUUCGAAACUGGCAGGCUUGAGUCUUGUAGAGGGGGGUAGAAUUCCAGGUGUAGCGGUGAAAUGCGUAGAGAUCUGGAGGAAUACCGGUGGCGAAGGCGGCCCCCUGGACAAAGACUGACGCUCAGGUGCGAAAGCGUGGGGAGCAAACAGGAUUAGAUACCCUGGUAGUCCACGCCGUAAACGAUGUCUACUUGGAGGUUGUGCCCUUGAGGCGUGGCUUCCGGAGCUAACGCGUUAAGUAGACCGCCUGGGGAGUACGGCCGCAAGGUUAAAACUCAAAUGAAUUGACGGGGGCCCGCACAAGCGGUGGAGCAUGUGGUUUAAUUCGAUGCAACGCGAAGAACCUUACCUGGUCUUGACAUCCACAGAAGAAUCCAGAGAUGGAUUUGUGCCUUCGGGAACUGUGAGACAGGUGCUGCAUGGCUGUCGUCAGCUCGUGUUGUGAAAUGUUGGGUUAAGUCCCGCAACGAGCGCAAC
Molecule: ribosomal RNA, 479 nt
Filed under: Salmonella enterica
Lineage: Bacteria; Pseudomonadati; Pseudomonadota; Gammaproteobacteria; Enterobacterales; Enterobacteriaceae
Also listed under: 1 other name
Description: partial 16S ribosomal RNA
Rfam family: Bacterial small subunit ribosomal RNA
Source: RNAcentral